UAAUACAGAGGGCCCGAGCGUUGCGCGGAUUCACUGGGCUUAAAGGGUGCGUAGGCGGAGGCGUAAGUGCCUCGUGAAAUCCCACGGCUCAACCGUGGAAUUGCGGGGCAUACUGCGUCUCUUGAGGUCGGUAGGCGCCGCCGGAACUGUGGGUGUAGCGGUGAAAUGCGUAGAUAUCCACAGGAACGCCGAUGGUGAAGACGGGCGGCUAGGCCGAUUCUGACGCUGAGGCACGAAAGCGUGGGGAUCAAACAGGAUUAGAUACCCUGGUAGUCCACGCCGUAAACGAUGUGCACUAGACCUCGAAGGCUCUGACGCCGGCGGGGUCGAAGUAAAAACGAUUAGUGCACCGCCUGGGGAGUACGGUCGCAAGGCUA
This 377-nucleotide ribosomal RNA is filed under the name uncultured bacterium. Its description in RNAcentral is "bacterial SSU rRNA". It matches the Rfam family "Bacterial small subunit ribosomal RNA", at positions 521 to 896 of the family's 1533-position model. The record is from RNAcentral.